Anas platyrhynchos (mallard) is the source of this 536-nucleotide non-coding RNA. Lineage: Eukaryota; Metazoa; Chordata; Aves; Anseriformes; Anatidae. The record is from RefSeq and is a predicted model, not a curated record.
GGCCCCGUUCCGGCCCCGUUCCGGCCCCUCCGGGCCGCGAUGUCGGACCCCAGCUGCUGGGGGGCCGCUCCCGCCGGUUACCGGGGGCAGCGGGCGGCCGGGGCCCUGCUGCAGCGCUCCAAGAGGUUUGGGCUUUUCCAGCCCUAACAGCGGGGUCCCUCUGGGCAGCUCGGCCCUGUUAUUCACCCCACGGGCAGUGACGAGCGCUGGCUGGCAUCCGACACGCGUUGCCCUACUGCCCUGGAAGGGUUUAGUCACCGACUCUCUGAUCCUUCUCCAAAACACGUCACUCGAUCCCGCAGGACAGGAGCAGGAUGCCCACGGCCCCGUUGCUUGCCCACGGCCAACAUUUCCCCUUCCAGCUCGGGACAUUUUACGAUUCUGCCUCCGGCCCCGGGGGUUAGCAUCACCCCGAGUGCCGGGACAUCACGCUCAGGGCCGGGUGAGGCGUUAUUUCGCUCCGGGGUCACGGCCGCUGUCCCACGCUUCCCGCAUCCUUUGAAAAAAAACAAAACAAAACAAACACUGGAUGGUGA